GACCGGGCGGUUUCCCUCCCCGCCACUCGGUCGCCCAGGAAAUCUGUCGCUUGGCCACCUGCCGGGGGGAGGGGGGGGACACCGGCCCGGCUCGCGCCACUCGGCUCCGUCCCUGGCUCGUCCCUGGCUCGUCCCGGGUUCGCUCUUCCGGACCCCGGCGUCCGCGCCGUGACACCCGCCUCCUGGCCCCGGCUGCGGCCGACCAGGCCACCCCUGGCCGGGCAUUACGCGCUGAAUCCCAAAGCCCAGAACCAUCCAGGGGCCAGCGAUUAUGAUCUGUCCCUGAGUUGGGGACAGGUGAGGCUAGCCACCUGUGACCAACAAAGACUAAUCAGACCCUAAAAAGAAGGAAGCCAUUAAGGAUGUUAUCACCAGUCCUUCCUCAAAGCAAGACGUCACAAGAAUGCUAAGGCCACCAGCUCCCUGGUCAGUUCUAAAUAAAACAGUCAGUGGAGGCCCUGGCAACCCUUUCCGGAGCCCGCUCACUCCUGAGAACUUCUUCUGUAUCCUUGCUUAAUAAACUUCUGUCGCUUUACUCAC
Molecule: long non-coding RNA, 540 nt
Organism: Canis lupus familiaris (dog)
Lineage: Eukaryota; Metazoa; Chordata; Mammalia; Carnivora; Canidae
Exons: 3
Source: RefSeq, a predicted model, not a curated record